UUGGCUAUACUUUCAGGGAUCGUUUCUGUAGUUUUUAACUUGGAAAUGUGAUUUGAAUGUGUAGGUCUCCCUAUCUACGAUGAUGAGCCAAUAUGCUUCCUUUUGAGAAUGAAUUGGGUGAAGUGUGAUGGUUUUAUUUCAUGCACUUCAUUCCUGAUGAAUGUUCUUACUGUGUUCCACAGUGUAGAGAAAGGAAGUAUCUUCUGCGUGGG
Molecule: small nucleolar RNA, 212 nt
Organism: Electrophorus electricus (electric eel)
Lineage: Eukaryota; Metazoa; Chordata; Actinopteri; Gymnotiformes; Gymnotidae
Product: small nucleolar RNA U3
Source: RefSeq, a predicted model, not a curated record